This 478-nucleotide ribosomal RNA is filed under the name uncultured alveolate. Its description in RNAcentral is "SSU rRNA". It matches the Rfam family "Eukaryotic small subunit ribosomal RNA", at positions 63 to 551 of the family's 1831-position model. The record is from RNAcentral.
GUAUAAAUGGUAUACAGUGAAACUGCGAAUGGCUCAUUAAAACAGUUAUAGUUUAUUUGGUAAUCGAAUUUACAUGGAUAACCGUGGUAAUUCUAGAGCUAAUACAUGCUGUAAGCCCGACUUUUCGGAAGGGCCGUAUUUAUUAGAUAACAGACCAAUGCCCCCCCGGGCUUUGUGGUGACUCAUAGUAACUAAUCGGAUCGCAUGGGCCUGUCCCGCGACAAACCAUUCAAGUUUCUGCCCCAUCAGCUUUCGAUGGUAGUGUAUUGGACUACCAUGGCUUUUACGGGUAACGGAGGAUUAGGGUUCGAUUCCGGAGAGGGAGCCUGAGAAACGGCUACCACAUCUAAGGAAGGCAGCAGGCGCGUAAAUUACCCAAUCCUAAUUCAGGGAGGUAGUGACAAGAAAUAAUGGGUCGGAACUAACGUUCCGGGACCGCAAUGAGAUGAAUUUACACCCCUUUUCGAGGAUCAAUUGG